RNAcentral lists this ribosomal RNA (395 nucleotides) under uncultured bacterium. RNAcentral describes it as "bacterial SSU rRNA". It matches the Rfam family "Bacterial small subunit ribosomal RNA", at positions 30 to 429 of the family's 1533-position model. The record is from RNAcentral.
AUUGAACGCUGGCGGAAUGCUUUACACAUGCAAGUCGAACGGCAGCACGGGGCAACCUGGUGGCGAGUGGCGAACGGGUGAGUAAUACAUCGGAACGUGCCCAAUCGUGGGGGAUAACGUAGCGAAAGUUACGCUAAUACCGCAUACGAUCUACGGAUGAAAGCGGGGGAUCGCAAGACCUCGCGCGAAUGGAGCGGCCGAUGUCAGAUUAGGUAGUUGGUGGGGUAAAGGCUCACCAAGCCAACGAUCUGUAGCUGGUCUGAGAGGACGACCAGCCACACUGGAACUGAGACACGGCCCAGACUCCUACGGGAGGCAGCAGUGGGGAAUUUUGGACAAUGGGCGCAAGCCUGAUCCAGCCAUUCCGCGUGCAGGAUGAAGGCCUCGGUUGUAAC